AUGAUAACGGAAGAAGAAGUCCACGGAGUUUGGGCUCAGUCAAGCAGUCUCACGUGGGCAAUGUUCUGUCGGCUUGCUUCAGAAGGACUAACGACUCCAAUUAGGGUUAAAACCAACUACUUUGUCCAUCUAAAGGUGACACUGAACCAGUUCAACAGAGGCCCACCACUUUGUUUGCUCAGCUGACAUCUGUUGACCUAAGAAGUCUUUCUUCAGUGGACUGGAUCAGCAUUUGCCAAGGUUCCUGGAGCUGUUCAAGGCCAAGAGUGGGAAAUCAGCUGGACUAAGCAGGCAGCUUAAAUGUCUUGAUGACUCCUCUAUGCUGAGGAAGAGGUCAGUUGUUCUUCCGGUGCCUUCCGUAUUUUCUCAAGGAUGAUCCUUCAAAUGCAUUCAAGACUGUUCAGGCCAUUGACGAGGAAGCCACACUCACUCGGGGAAUGAAAAUUGGAGUUCUGCUGGUGAAAGAUGGAGAGGACAUCAUUGCCACAUCAGUCAUUCUUGAGGAACAAGUGGUCCUGCCUGAUGUGGAAGACAUUCCUCAUGCCAUUGCUCUACUGAUGGGUCUGCUUUUUGCCUUUAAUAUACACUAUCCAAAGGAACUCAGGUACACAUUUGAAGUUUUUCAAAAGGUCCUGAUGAACAUCGGCGGAGGUCAGUGUUCCUCCCUUGUGCAUGGUUUGAGAAACAGACUAUUACAAAAAACCAUGUAGAUUCUCCUGAAAUGUCUCAUCUCAUGACUCAUGGAUGUCUGAGCUUUUUGAAAGCACUCAACGUUUCCUGUUAAACAUUGUUCCAAAGGUCAUAUAGAAGUUUGGCACAUGGUUUGGAAUUCUUGUUUUGUUAUUUCAUCUGUUUAGGUUUAUUCCAUCAGAAAAUAUAGUCAUAUCAGUUCAAAGCCAAUCAAAUGCAUAGGUUGAUAAAAAGUAUUGCAAUAAAGAGGUCAACAUAAGACCAAAUGAUAGAUGACAAGAUUAAAAUGUGCACUAUUUGUUUAGAACUACUAUUUUGAAUUGUAUCAUUUUGAAUUUUAUUUUAUUGUUUUUAUUUGUGCAAGGUUUUGUUAGAUGCUUUAAAAGUAUAUGCACUUGAGUUAAUGUGCAAUUACUUGUCUCAUUUAAGACACUAAAUAUGUUCUAACUAUAAGACCUUGAUGCUGUGUUAAUGUUUUUUUUUGAGUGCAGACUGUUCCAAAACGUUUUCACUAUUCAUUACAAAACAAAACAGCUUCAGUAAAUGUUGCAGAGCUGUAACUUCAUUACUGCUAAAUAAAUAAAUAAACUAGCUGAGCUGAUGAACAUGUGUGUAUUGCUUCUGUUUUUAGAGGUGAAAUUUAUCACUAAAUGGAUCAUUUUGUGUGAAAUGUACAUAAAUUAAUCAUAUAAAUGUUUUAAAUUUCCAAUAUACAGUGCCCCCAUCUUUUUGCAAUAUGGCAAAUGUUUUAAAUGAUUUAGUUAAGUUGACUUAAACAUUUCUUCCAAAUGAAUUGAUACUUUUAAAUUGAGUCAACAUACAUUUAUGGAUUACACGGACUGUACCAGUCAG
Non-coding RNA from Nothobranchius furzeri (turquoise killifish), 1542 nucleotides. NCBI's taxonomy places the organism in Eukaryota, Metazoa, Chordata, Actinopteri, Cyprinodontiformes, Nothobranchiidae. The record is from RefSeq and is a predicted model, not a curated record.